RNAcentral lists this long non-coding RNA (1077 nucleotides) under Pogona vitticeps (central bearded dragon). Its description in RNAcentral is "lncRNA (ENSPVIG00000003115.1)". Lineage: Eukaryota; Metazoa; Chordata; Lepidosauria; Squamata; Agamidae. The record is from RNAcentral.
GGGUUCCAGAAUUCCAUUUGGGUGCAUUUAUUCAUUGUCGGAGCUGGAGUUAGCAGAACUGCGGGACUUCAUAGUGAAAAAUCUGAAAUGUGGAUUCAUUUGUCCUUUCACCUGCUGUAACUCCAGUCCUCUUUGUAAAGAAGAAGAGUGAGGAACUUCAUCUUUGCAACGAUUUCAGAGCCCUCAACCAGAUUACGAUCCGGAACAGGUAUCCUCUGCCCUUGAUCCAGGAACUGAUGGAACAGCUGUGGGAUGCUCAAAUUUUUACCAAGUUGGAUCUUAGGGGAACGUAUAACUUGGUCCGGAUUUGAGAAGGGGAUGAGUGGAAUAUGGCUUUCCAGACCAGGUAUGAGCAUUUUAAGUACACAGUCAUGCUGUUUAGGCUUUAUAAUGUACCCACUGUAUUCCAACACCUGAUGAAUGACAUUUUUCGGGACUUCCUGGAUCAGUUCUUGAUUGUGUACCUCAAUGGCAUUUUGAUUUACUCCCAAGACCCUCAGGAACAUGUUCAGCAUAUUUGAGCUGUGUUACAAUGCUUACAGGACAACCAUUUAUUUGCAAAGUUGGAGAAAUAUGCAUUUGACCUUGCCACAGUAGACUUUCUGGGUCUUUCCAACAACUUAAAAUGGCCUUCACAUCAAAGCCCAUUCUGCAACAGCCUGACCCUGCACUCCCGUUCAUAGUAGAGGCCAAUGCUUUAGACAAGGCCAUGGUGGCUGUUCUGUUCCAGCCAGUAGAGGAGGAUCAUGUGCUUUUCAUACUUUGAAAAACUCAGUGACUUGGAGCAGAAUUAUACAAUCUGGGAGAAGGAAUUAUUGGCCAUUAAGCUAGCCUUUGAAACUUGGUGCCAUCUGCUGGUGGGGGUGUGGUUUCCAGUGCAAGCACGGACUGAUCACCAGAAUCUAGAACAUCUACAGAAAUUGACCCUCCCUUGCCACCUCAGGUGUGGCAGAAGGAGAAAUGCAGACUGCAGCAAGUGGCAACGAGAAAGACCUUUGUUCGGCUGAUUCUGUGAGAGCCACGUCUGGAGCAUCAGGGCACAAAAGCAAGUUGGAAAUAAAAAUGUUUAUUAAGAGC